GAUGAACGCUGGCGGCGUGCCUAACACAUGCAAGUCGAGCGAUUCUCUUCGGAGAAGAGCGGCGGACGAGUGAGUAACUCGUGGGUAACCUGCCAUGUACACACGGAUAACAUACCGAAAGGAAUGCUAAUACGAGAUAACAUAAGAAAUUCGCAUGAUUUUCUUAUCAAAGAUCCGGCGGUACAGGAUGGACCCGCGUCUGAGUAACUAGUUGGUGAGGUAAUGGCUCACCAAGGCGACGAUCAGUAGCCGACCUGAGAGGGUGAUCGGCCACAUUGGAACUGAGACACGGUCCAAACUCCUACGGGAGGCAGCAGUGGGGAAUAUUGCACAAUGGGCGAAAGCCUGAUGCAGCAACGCCGCGUGAGCGAUGAAGGCCUUCGGGUCGUAAAGCUCUGUCCUCAAGGAAGAUAAUGACGGUACUUGAGGAGGAAGCCCCGGCUAACUACGUGCCAGCCGCCGCAGUAA
RNAcentral lists this ribosomal RNA (468 nucleotides) under uncultured bacterium. RNAcentral's name for it is "partial 16S ribosomal RNA". It matches the Rfam family "Bacterial small subunit ribosomal RNA", at positions 28 to 523 of the family's 1533-position model. The record is from RNAcentral.